GAUGAACGCUGGCGGCGUGCCUAAUACAUGCAAGUCGAGCGAACAGACGAGGAGCUUGCUCCUCUGACGUUAGCGGCGGACGGGUGAGUAACACGUGGAUAACCUACCUAUAAGACUGGGAUAACUUCGGGAAACCGGAGCUAAUACCGGAUAAUAUAUUGAACCGCAUGGUGCAAUAGUGAAAGACGGUUUUGCUGUCACUUAUAGAUGGAUCCGCGUCGCAUUAGCUAGUUGGUAAGGUAACGGCUUACCAAGGCAACGAUGCGUAGCCGACCUGAGAGGGUGAUCAGCCACACUGGAACUGAGACACGGUCCAGACUCCUACGGGAGGCAGCAGUAGGGAAUCUUCCGCAAUGGGCGAAAGCUUGACGGAGCAACGCCGCGUGAGUGAUGAAGGUCUUCGGAUCGUAAAACUCUGUUAUUAGGGAAGAACAAAUGUGUAAGUAACUAUGCACGUCUUGACGGUACCUAAUCAGAAAGCCCCGGCUAACUACGUG
Molecule: ribosomal RNA, 497 nt
Filed under: uncultured bacterium
Lineage: Bacteria
Description: partial 16S ribosomal RNA
Rfam family: Bacterial small subunit ribosomal RNA
Source: RNAcentral